GAUGAACGCUGGCGGCGUGCCUAAUACAUGCAAGUCGAGCGAACAGAUAAGGAGCUUGCUCCUUUGACGUUAGCGGCGGACGGGUGAGUUACACGUGGAUAACCUACCUAUAAGACUGGGAUAACUUCGGGAAACCGGAGCUAAUACCGGAUAACAUAUUGAACCGCAUGGUUCAAUAGUGAAAGGCGGCUUUGCUGUCACUUAUAGAUGGAUCCGCGCCGGAUUAGCUAGUUGGUAAGGUAACGGCUUACCAAGGCGACGAUCCGUAGCCGACCUGAGAGGGUGAUCGGCCACACUGGAACUGAGACACGGUCCAGACUCCUACGGGAGGCAGCAGUAGGGAAUCUUCGGCAAUGGGCGAAAGCCUGACGGAGCAACGCCGCGUGAGUGAUGAAGGUCUUCGGAUCGUAAAACUCUGUUAUCAGGGAAGAACAAAUGUGUAAGUAACUGUGCACAUCUUGACGGUACCUGAUCAGAAAGCCACGGCUAACUACGUG
RNAcentral lists this ribosomal RNA (497 nucleotides) under uncultured bacterium. RNAcentral's name for it is "partial 16S ribosomal RNA". It matches the Rfam family "Bacterial small subunit ribosomal RNA", at positions 28 to 507 of the family's 1533-position model. The record is from RNAcentral.